AGCAUGUGGUUUAAUUCGAUGAUACGCGAAAACCUUACCUGGGCUUGAACUGUGCAUGACAGGUGUAGAGAUACACCCGUCCUUCGGGCAUGUACAGAGGUGCUGCAUGGCUGUCGUCAGCUCGUGUCGUGAGAUGUUGGGUUAAGUCCCGCAACGAGCGCAACCCUACCCCUCGUUGCUACCAGGUUAUGCUGGGCACUCUAGGGGAACUGCCGGUGAUAACCGGAGGAAGUGGGACGACGUCAAGUCAUCACGGCCCUUAUGUCCAGGGCUACACACGUGCUACAAUGGCCGGUACAAAGAGUUGCGAUGCCGCGAGGUGGAGCCAAUCUCAAAAAACCGGUCUCAGUUCGGAUUGUAGUCUGCAACUCGACUGCAUGAAGCUGGAAUCGCUAGUAAUCGCAGAUCAGAACGCUGCGGUGAAUACGUUCCCGGGCCUU
RNAcentral lists this ribosomal RNA (440 nucleotides) under uncultured Leptospiraceae bacterium. Its description in RNAcentral is "bacterial SSU rRNA". It matches the Rfam family "Bacterial small subunit ribosomal RNA", at positions 936 to 1382 of the family's 1533-position model. The record is from RNAcentral. Lineage: Bacteria; Pseudomonadati; Spirochaetota; Leptospiria; Leptospirales; Leptospiraceae.